CUUGAUUUUGAUACUUAAAAAUACUUAAAAGAAAGCUGCAAAAACAUUUGAGUUUUAUUUGAACUCUGGUCAUAGAAAUCUUGCUUAUAUUAUCUUUAAUACUUUUCAAAAUAACUCUCAAGAUCAGAUCAAUCUAUAAAAUUCUAGGUUAAGACUAAACUUGUUUAAAUACUUAGAGCUCAUGAUGGUUAACUAAAUAGAUGUAGGGGGCAGUGUAGACAGACCUCUAUCUCUAGGAAUAUAAGACUUGGGCAAAGGACAAUGUGAUUUGAAUUGCGUCGGUGUGUGGUUUCUUUGUAACAGCAAAUUUCAGUGAAGUGUCCUUUCCUCUCAGAGACUCAGUUAAAUAUGACGUUAAUGUUUCCCCAUAUAGAAACACCAACUCUUUUUUUUUUUUUUAAGAUUUUAUUUAUUUAUUUGACAGAUCACAAGUAGGCAGAGAGGCAGGCAGAGAGGCAAGGGGAGAGAGAGGAGAGAGCAAGCUCCCCGCAGAGCAGAGAGCCCGAUGUGGGGCUCGAUCCCAGGACCCUAAGAUCAUGACCCGAGCUGAAGGCAGAGGCUUAACCCACUGAGCCACCCAGGCACCCCUAGAAACAACAACUCUUGAUCUGCUAGCUAGAAAAGGGGAAACUGAGUGUGCCCAUUUAUUUUAUUUUUAAAAAAAAUAUAUUUUUAUUUAUUUGUUUGACAGACAGAGAUCACAAGUAGGCAGAGAGGCAGGCAGAGAGAGAAGGAGGGGAAGCAGGCUCCCUGCUGAGCAGAGAGCCCUUUGCAGGGCUUGAUCCCAGGACCCUGGGAUCAUGACCCCAGCCAAAGGCAGAGGCUUUUAACCCACUGAGCCACCCAGGUGCCUCAAGUGUGCCCAUUUAUGAAAAGCCCCUACUAAAUCCUUUUUACUUAAACUCUACAGGUAUCCCGAUGUGAGUGAAAACUGACAGAUUACAAUGCAGGAAUCCCCGUGUUGGCAAGAAGCUGCCGCCAGCUCAAAUAUCUAGACCUCAGCUCUACAGGAAUAAGCAGAAGAGGUCCCCCAAUUUUAGAUGGAGACCUGGUAACUAGCCUAACAGAAGAGUCUGAAAUGGACAGAAGAAUUAAUGCUUACAGAGGGCACAAAUACUGAACAUGGAUUCUGUUAAAGCAGAAUUACUAUUUUUAGGAAGCCCAACUAGAAGAGUUUAUUCAUUGGCUAAUUAUUGUCACAUUAGUUUGGAACAUGUGAAACUCAGUUUCUGCAAGAAUGUCACCCUGGACGUGGUUCAAAAACUUUGCGAAAACUGUAGAUGGUUGAAGAUUCUCCAUCUAUAUGGCUGCAUUGUAACUUCUGACAUGUGCAAAAUAAAAGAGACUUUCAAAAGAGACCAAGUAUUAUAUGAUGCUAAUGUUUUCAGGAAAAUAGAAUUUCUAGUAAUAAAGACAUUAACAAUAUACUAAGUUAAAUAUGCCCAGAAAUAUUCCCAAUUAAAGCAAGAUAUAUAUUAUUUUUGACUUAAGAGGUAGACAAUCAAGGAAUAAUUGCAUGGUACUAUGUUGAGAUCUUAUAAAAAAUAAUCCAUUUUUGUAUGUCAAACAUCUCUACCCCCCCAUAAUAAAAUAAA
Long non-coding RNA from Mustela lutreola (European mink), 1595 nucleotides. RefSeq lists it as uncharacterized. Lineage: Eukaryota; Metazoa; Chordata; Mammalia; Carnivora; Mustelidae. The record is from RefSeq and is a predicted model, not a curated record. The transcript is spliced from 4 exons.